This 363-nucleotide long non-coding RNA is filed under the name Bos indicus x Bos taurus (hybrid cattle). Its description in RNAcentral is "lncRNA (ENSBIXG00000010490.1)". Lineage: Eukaryota; Metazoa; Chordata; Mammalia; Artiodactyla; Bovidae. The record is from RNAcentral.
GGGAGAUGGCCCCACCAUCUCAGGCAUGCCUCCUCCCUCUGCUUCUCCCCACAUCUCUUCAGCGGUAUCUUCUCCUCCAGCUUCCAGCCAGGAAGUUACGAGCAAUGAGGGGCAGGGAGUCCAUUUCCAUUUCACUCGAGUCUGUACUCUACCGUCCCCAGAGGAGCUUCUCCUGGAUACAUAGAACUGGCUUCUCUCCUCUCCUGGGGAUUUCUAAGAACCCAUGAGCGAGACCGGGGCAAUCUUAAAGCUUUAUCCAAAUGCCCUCAACAGAGGAUGAUGAAUUAUACCACGAUGCACCCACCCAUGGAAUACUCUGCAGCUGCUUCCAAUAAAAGGAAUGGGCUCCUUCUCUGUGCGACA